GCCGGGCACAGUGGAGCACACCUGUAAUCCCAGUGAUUUGGGAGGCUGAGACAGGAGAAUCACAAGUUUAAAGCAAGCCUCAGCAAGUAUGAGGUGCUAAGAAACUCAGUGAGCUCCUAUCUCUA
RNAcentral lists this small RNA (125 nucleotides) under Marmota monax (woodchuck). Lineage: Eukaryota; Metazoa; Chordata; Mammalia; Rodentia; Sciuridae. The record is from RNAcentral.